UGUUGCUUCGGCGGGUAGGCCGUCCCCUGAAAAGGACGCCUCCCGGCCCGGACCGGACCCCCCGCGGGACCGGACCCGGCGCCCGCCGGAGGAUAACCAAACUCUAUUGUAACGACGUUUCUUCUGAGUGGCAUAAGCAAAAUAAUCAAAACUUUUAACAACGGAUCUCUUGGUUCUGGCAUCGAUGAAGAACGCAGCGAAAUGCGAUAAGUAAUGUGAAUUGCAGAAUUCAGUGAAUCAUCGAAUCUUUGAACGCACAUUGCGCCCGCCAGCAUUCUGGCGGGCAUGCCUGUUCGAGCGUCAUUUCAACCCUCAAGCUCUGCUUGGUGUUGGGGCUCUACGGUCGACGUAGGCCCUCAAAGGUAGUGGCGGACCCUCCCGGAGCCUCCUUUGCGUAGUAACAUUUCGUCUCGCACUGGGAUCCGGAGGGACUCUUGCCGUAAAACCCCCCAAUUUUCCAAAGGUUGACCUCGGAUCAGGUAGGAAUACCC
This 491-nucleotide ribosomal RNA is filed under the name Colletotrichum sp. GZUCCQL0203. RNAcentral's name for it is "eukaryotic LSU rRNA". The stretch from base 150 to 303 matches the Rfam family "5.8S ribosomal RNA". Lineage: Eukaryota; Fungi; Ascomycota; Sordariomycetes; Glomerellales; Glomerellaceae. The record is from RNAcentral.